AAGGACGUCAAAGUUUCUGGAGUCACAAAACGCGUGGCGACUGACCAUCGUUUUGAUGUCACACCUGUUGAAGAGUGGCGUGCUUGGUGUGAUUAUGUGCGUGCAUUUUCUAAAAAUUGCAAAGCUAAUGUUGCGACAGUCCGACCAGAUGAUUGUCAGGAUGCGCGUCCUUAUCUAAAUGUUGAAAUUGGUGGUGUUCCGUGUUCUGGAUUGUUAGAUUCUGGAGCGGAAAUUUCUAUUCUUGGUGGUUCUGCUGUGAAUUAUUUUUCUCACCUGGGUGAGUUGUAUAAAUCGGAUUCUACUGAUGCUGUGGUAACGGCGAAUGGUUCGACUUCCCCUACGGUCGGAUAUAUGUUUUUACCUGUCGUAGUGAAUGAGGUGUUGAAGGUUAUAAAGUUUUAUGUGGUUCCUGGAGUUUCGUCGUCUUUGUUGUUUGGCAUCAACUUCUGGAAAGCUUUUCAGAUAGCGCCUGAUGUUUUGCGACUUAUGAAUCGGAGGGAUUCGAUGGUUAGGCAUGCUGAAGCAGUCGUGUCUCGGAAGUUGACUGGUGAUGCUGGUAAAGUUUUUAAACACCCGAAGGUUCGUCGUAGACCCUUCCAGUGUGUCAGCGUUGGUUUUGUUGGUCCACUGCCCAGGUCUCGACGGCAAGUGUUUGAAGUAGAUAAGCAAUUGAGGAAAUCUCACUUGCGAGAUGCUGAUUGGUAUAAUAGGCGUCGGAGAGAUGUCGAGUUUGAGGAAGAUGAUGUGGUUUGGCGGAGUACGCAUGUUCGUGGUGUAGCUCCGAGAUUUAAAAAUUAUGUAGAGUAGAUUGAAGUUUUGUUGAGGUGUUAGUUUUUUUUGUUGUGUAUUGUGGUGGUUCUGUUUCUGUAUGAUAGGAUGAUGCUGGAGGGCCAGCGUGAAUUUUUCUCGUUAUCCUCGUAAAAUUCUGGUGGGUGAGGGGGUACUGUAACACUUUUUUUUUGGCGAGAUUGAAUACUUACCGAUUUCCACAAACAAACAUUCCAACGAACCGUAAGGUCACAUAUUACAAAGUGCGCAGUGUUUCCUUUGUCACUUGAUUGUGUCAUUGUUAGUGAUUCACUGAGUUUUGAUUAACUUCUAUUAAAAUUAAUUACAUUGUUUUGGUACACAGAGCAAUAAAUAACCUCACUUUUUGAAUGUCUCCGUUUGACAGAUCAAUGCGUUACGUUCCAUUCUUUUAGUAUAGAAGAAAUGUAUAAUGAAAUUAAAUAUUCAACACUAAAUUUUUAUAAAACUUAAUAUUUAGGCUCUUUAAUUUAAAUUCUAGCUAUUUCUAGUAUUUUCCUCAAUGUUUAUAUUAAAAUAACAUUGUAAUGUAUCUUGAUCGAUCAUGGGUUCGGAACGUUCUAGAAAUUUGACAUAUUCUGAGCGAAACGAAACGCGCGGGAGACGGUCCGAAUACUGUGAGUGACGUUUCUUCUGUUUCUAAAAGUUAAAUAAAUUAAUUAAAUUUAAAUCGGAGGAGCAGUUUUGUGAGUUCUCAUAUCAAGAUUAUUCAAUAAGAGGCUGGUUGACUCAAAUAGAACUUAUUAGAAAAAGAAAUAAAAAAUAAAAACGAAGAAACAUUUUUAUGGUUUGUUAUUGUUGGGUUCGAUUCGGACCACAAGUCACGGGUGAUGACCGGCGCUUUUUGGAGUGACCUUUUUUUUUGCUCGACCGGCCGUGCGCUUGGACGGAAGUUCGUUAGUGUGUGGUGUUGUGGCAUUCUGAGUCGGCCCUAAAUGUGCCAUUCCCAACUCAAACGGGCAGGGCACGCAGAUUAUUGUUGUUGAAAUAAAGGAAUUCCGGUUGGACACCGAAAUCCCGCUGUUCGCCGAUUUUGCGGACUCACUGCCACGUGCUGAGUUCUGUUACUGAAGGUAAGCAGGUCCUAUUCCAAGGAUUACCUUGAGUUUCUUCUUGUUAUUUUGUUGUUUGCAUUGGCGGCAUUGUUAACCAAUGCACCUGGUUGUUAUUCGCAGAUUGUGUGUGGUUGGGCAGUGCUCGGUGGCGAGCCUCUGCGCUGUUGCUGUCUGUUGUUGAUGUUGCUGAUGUUGCCUCCAUAGCAGGAGGUGUAUGGUACCGGCUGCUCUGUUGGCACCGGCUAUCAGGUGUUUGGCACCGGCUGUCCCGCAGUGCCAGACGCUUGCUGCGCCCGACGGGUGCGGAGGGGGUUGAGCCGAGUGGUGGCGACUAGCGCGCUAGUAAUCUUAAGUAUUUUUAAUCAGUACCAACCAAACGGCCCAACGACCCAUCCCUUAAUUUUUCUUUUUAAAUAUUUGUGUCUAACCCACAAUUAAAUUGUUGUCAAUUUAAAAUA
Ostrinia furnacalis (Asian corn borer) is the source of this 2320-nucleotide long non-coding RNA. RefSeq lists it as uncharacterized. The transcript is spliced from 2 exons. NCBI's taxonomy places the organism in Eukaryota, Metazoa, Arthropoda, Insecta, Lepidoptera, Crambidae. The record is from RefSeq and is a predicted model, not a curated record.